This 1507-nucleotide long non-coding RNA is filed under the name Salmo salar (Atlantic salmon). Its description in RNAcentral is "lncRNA (ENSSSAG00000094682.1)". Lineage: Eukaryota; Metazoa; Chordata; Actinopteri; Salmoniformes; Salmonidae. The record is from RNAcentral.
AUGUCUUCACCCAGGACAAAUGAGGAUGAGGUAAGGUGUCAGAUUGUUUGUUAAGCUGCCCAUCAAAUUCUCUCUCCCCUUCAAUGAGUGUGUGAAACAGACGUGGUUUGAUUUCUCAGAAUUAUGCUGCGACUGAGUGGUUGUUUUUCCCCCCCUGAGAUGUUAACAAUGGAUCCUUAGUGAUGCAGAAGAGAGAAUCAUCCUGGGGCUAUCCCUGGCACCCCUACAAAACCACACCUCAGCUCUCUCGCCCACGCUCCAUCAGCCUACCACUGGGGAUGCAUGAGGGUAUGAGCAGAGCAGUCAAACAAGUGCAGGUGUCCCAUUGACAGAUACUAUAUGUUCAGGGGAAUUGGCUCUUAAUGGCUCUAUAAUGUGUUAUUGUUUACCCCACACGGCACAACCGACCUAUCAUGAGAGAGAUGGUUUGCUGAGCCUGUUGGUUGAUGGUUGACACUUGUCUCUCCAGGCUACUUGCUUCUCAACAGAGGCCUGUUUUAACCCACCCCCACAUGUCAAAAAACAUGAUUCAUGUUCAAGCCACUUCUUGCUCUUGCUGCUCACCAUUUUUGGUUGUCAUAACACCUUCCCAGGGCAGUGGUGGGAUAUGUUUAGAUUUAACAUGUAGCUCAGACAAGUAGAGAAGGAGAGGAAGGGCCCCUACGAGCCCUUUGGGCAGAUUAUGUGGGGCGUAUUUGCCUCCCUUCUGAGGUCGUAGGGUCCUCACUGUCUGUGCUCUAUCUUUCAGCCCUGGAGAAAGGAGGAGCUGAGUUUACCGGUCUUCCCCCCACACCUGAGCACUACAGGCAGAUACUGACACCUAGACUCCAGGUACUUCAAUCACUGAACCCACCUAUGGGGAAAGAGACAAAGAAGGACUGUGUAGGGCUGGAUCCCUGGGGCCGUCAAAAGCAGUUUCCUGGAACUAGAGAGGAUUUUGAGCCGGAUCAGUCUCCCUCUCCUGGCUAGACACCAUGGCAGCAGCACUGUUGUUAGGUGGAGGAACUCACCCGUCCCACUGAAUGAGUCCCCUAUGCCUUUGUUUUAAACAUAAAGGGAAAAUUAUAUGUUAUUAAAUCACUUAUUUUUAAUGCACUGAACGAUCCUUCUCAGGCAAAAUAAUACAUUAUAACUCUACAAUCAUAGCCCCGGAGAGACAAAAUGAAGAGCCCAAUUAUGACGAGCUAAAUUGCUUCAGGGCAACGAUGUUUGGAUACCAGUCAUUUUUUGGAAGGCAACUGAUCUUCUCAUUCUCCUGAGGGAAAUGAUCCGUUUGUCUUUGAAGCCGUGAUGAAAGGUUGAAUGAAAGCAGAUGAGUACCUGUCAAAAAAGAGAGGGAGAAUUCAUAAGGUCUCUGUCUAUGGUGACCAGGGAGAGGGGUUCGACUGGCAUUUGUUUCUGCUCUUUGGCUGUAAUGGAGCACAGCGGUGUGUGGAGGUGAGCGGGGUGAGAGGGGCGUGCCCACCCAGAGAGAGGAGGAGGUGAAAUGACUGCCCUGAAGAUACUG